UCUGCCUACGGGACGCAGCAGUGGGGAAUAUUGGGCAAUGGGCGCAAGCCUGACCCAGCGACGCCGCGUGAGGGAAGACGGUCUUCGGAUUGUAAACCUCUUUCAGCAGGGAAGACAAAAGGACGGUACCUGAGGAAUAAGCCACGGCUAACUACGUGCCAGCAGCCGCGGUAAUACGUAGGUGGCAAGCGUUAUCCGGAUUUAUUGGGUGUAAAGGGCGUGUAGGCGGGAGCGCAAGUCAGAUGUGAAAACUCAGGGCUCAACCCUGAGCCU
This 273-nucleotide ribosomal RNA is filed under the name uncultured bacterium. RNAcentral's name for it is "partial 16S ribosomal RNA". It matches the Rfam family "Bacterial small subunit ribosomal RNA", at positions 334 to 622 of the family's 1533-position model. The record is from RNAcentral.